Sturnus vulgaris (Common starling) is the source of this 128-nucleotide non-coding RNA. The record is from RefSeq and is a predicted model, not a curated record. NCBI's taxonomy places the organism in Eukaryota, Metazoa, Chordata, Aves, Passeriformes, Sturnidae.
AACUGCUGCCUGAAACCAUGAAGAAGAAGGAAGAUGAGCACUGAAAGAGACACCUCCCAAAAUCCUUCAUCUUGUCCCAUCCCUAUUGUUGUCUUAUAAAAACCCCAAAUUCCAAACCCUUCAUCGUG